UUCCUCCCACACCCCAAAGCUGUGCACACGAGGUGAACUAGCGUACCCACAUGGACCUCAUCAUCUGUGUGAGUGUGGGUGUGUUUGAGUGCACCCUCUGAUGGCAUAUCAUCCUGUCCAGGGUUGUUCUUCUAUUGCUCUGAACUGCCAGGAGUGGCUCUACCCACCUGUGACCCCAAACUCGUCUCAGCAGACCUGGUCUCCCUUUAUCGCUGAAGCUGGAAUACAGGGAUUAUAGCUCACUGCAGCCUUCGGCUCCUGGGCUCAAGUGAUAAUCUUGCCUCAGUAUCCCAAGUUGCUGAGUACCUGAGACUAAAGGUUUAUACUCACCUGUCCAUCAUGUGGAAGCUGGAGAGUCACUUCUUUGGAUAAUUCAAGAAUCUUGGGAUACUUCAGAGAACAAUUCUCAAACAACUUCUUCAAACUGACAGACUUCAAGGAACUAUGCAGGAUAGAUGGGUGGCCAAAUGACAAGCUUGGAAAGCUACAAGGGAAUGCUACCUGCUCCUCUCCGUCCAUUCUUUGCUCUCUUCUCUGAACUCCAUGUCUUCCACCAAGGUUCACUUCACCACUGUGUCAUUAAAAUGUUCAGUACCAAUAUGCAGACUGUCCGCAAUGAUUGAUAGGUAUAAACUGUUCAAGAAGACACCCAUUUCUAGCAAAAUUUCUGACUCCUUUCAAAAUAAAAAUUGGCCCUCUUACAGUAAUUUCACACUGAUAUAUGUCAGGGAUUAAUCCAAAAUGCCUGCAUAUAUUCAGGAUAGCUUUCCUGAGUUGAUUGGCCUUUGACUGUGAAAUUUUAACUACAAAAAUCAAGUUAAUGAAUCAUAUGUGUAUGUACAAAGACAUUCACUGUCAACUGACCUGUGAAAACAUAAAUCAUAUUACCAGUAUGGGGAUUAUUAUUAUAAAAGAAAUCUUUAUGUAGAGAAGAAUUACUAAUGAGUCAAAGCAAACUCUCCCUUUUAAUGAACAAUUCCUGAAAUGUUUCAUAAUGCAGGAAAAAUUCCAGUCUGUCUACAACCCUUUCCCUAUAGCUCUGUGGUUCUGUAUGAUCAUGAGGGAAAUUUAUUAUUGCUAUUUCUGAAAAUCCUAACUGCAAUAAAAUAUAAAAAAUAUUUAAAAAUCAGCAUGAAUAUUCACAUUUUGUAUGGUUCCUAAAUAUUUAAUUAUUUAAUAUCUUCAAAUAAUCAGCACCUUUUCUUUAUUUUUUGAUGUCGCCUUAUUUAUGAUUUUCGCUUGAAGCUAGGAGAGCUCUAAGUGGAAAGAUAUAUUAUUGUAUUGCGGAGUCCCAAACCCCCAGGACGGGGACUGGUACCAGUCCAUGGUCUGUUAGGAACAGAGCCACACAGCAGGAGGUCAGGGGCCUGCCAGCGAGCAUUACAUUAUUGCCUGAGCUCCAUCUGCUGUCAGAUGAGUGAUGGCAUUAGAUCUUGUAGGAACAGGAACCCUAUUGUGAAUUGUGCAUGUAAGGAAUCUAGGUGGUGUGGUCCUUAUGAGAAUCUAAUGACUGAUGAUCUGAGAUAGAACAGUUUCAUCCCGAAAUGUUACCCCUGCUGCCGCCCAUCCUGAAAAAAUUGCCUCCACAAAACUGGCCCGUGGUGCCAAAAAGGCUGGGGACUGCUGCUAUAUCGUGUAUUAAAUCCUGAUAUUUUUAUUUGAUUCAUUUCACUUUAAAGAGUCAGAAAAGAAUAGACUUCUUUUAUAUUUUCAGAAUUUCAAAUACAAAUUAUAAAUUAUGAAAAUAAUAAAUAUUACUCCUAAUAAAUAUUUUUAAUGUUAUCAAUUUUCAAAAAGCUUUAAUUGAGAACCUGGGAACUGUUAUAUUUCAUUUUGCUCUUGAACAGCUAAUAAUGUAUAACAGGCUAUUAAUUUUUUUUUCUAUUUUAUCUUCCAAUAUAAAUUUCCUUUUUGUGAAUUGAGUCAAUUGAGGAAAUAAAUUAUUUGACCUGGGUUAUCUACACUUUGCCUCCAAAGCAGAAACUGUUGUUCCAUAUCUUCAGGCUGCUCUUUUCUUUUUGUAUUUAUGCCAGUUAAAGUAGAGAAAGAAAAAUGAAAACAAGAAAAAUAAAAUAAAAUUCACAUGGGUAGAUGUCUAUGGAAAAUUAAAUAUCUAAGGAUGCAAAUUUAUUUUUUUGCAUGCAUGUACAUGUGAAUGAAGAAUAUAAACACAGUAUAUUGCAUUUAUAUUCUAUUCUGUUUCUUUAGGAUUUAAAAGUUACUAUGUUGUACUAUUCUUAAAUUAAGAUUUAUUUAAUGAUGUUGUUGGAUUUUGGAGGGGUUCUCCAUAGAAUAACAGGCUCUCUUUCAGAUUUUGUAAAUUCUUUCCCCAACCACAACUCAUCACAAUUUUUGCAAAGGAUUGAAUGGAACAUUAGAGACCUUCCAGAAUAUUUGUACUGAUUAAUUUUAAAGGUAUAAGAUGCUAGGAGAAAGAUUAUUUGACAUGAUUUCCUACUGAAAUCUUCUCUGUAUUUGUGGAUGCAUAAUCGAAAACUCUUUAACAUGACACAGUAGCAUUGCUGUUUGAUUUGUCUUUAAAUUCCUAUAUUUAAAUAAACUGUGGCAGAAAAA
This is a long non-coding RNA of Pan troglodytes (chimpanzee), 2574 nucleotides long. RefSeq lists it as uncharacterized. The record is from RefSeq and is a predicted model, not a curated record. Lineage: Eukaryota; Metazoa; Chordata; Mammalia; Primates; Hominidae. The transcript is spliced from 4 exons.